This 253-nucleotide ribosomal RNA is filed under the name uncultured bacterium. RNAcentral's name for it is "partial 16S ribosomal RNA". It matches the Rfam family "Bacterial small subunit ribosomal RNA", at positions 524 to 776 of the family's 1533-position model. The record is from RNAcentral.
UACGGGGGGGGCAAGCGUUGUUCGGAAUUACUGGGCGUAAAGGGCUCGUAGGUGGCCGACUAAGUCAGACGUGAAAUCCCUCGGCUUAACCGGGGAACUGCGUCUGAUACUGGACGGCUUGAGUUCGGGAGAGGGAUGCGGAAUUCCAGGUGUAGCGGUGAAAUGCGUAGAUAUCUGGAGGAACACCUAUUGCGAAGGCAGCUCGCUGGGACGUUACUGACGCUGAGACGCGAAAGCGUGGGGAGCGAACAGG